CCUACGGGAGGCAGCAGUGGGGGAUAUUGGACAAUGGGGGAAACCCUGAUCCAGCGACGCCGCGUGAGUGAAGAAGUAUUUAGGUAUGUAAAGCUCUAUCAGCAGGGAAGAAAGACAUGACGGUACCUGAGUAAGAAGCCCCGGCUAACUACGUGCCAGCAGCCGCGGUAAUACGUAGGGGGCAAGCGUUAUCAGGAAUUACUGGGUGUAAAGGGAGCGUAGACGGUAAUGCAAGUCUGGAGUGAAAGGCGGCGGCGCAACCCCCGGACUGCUCUGGAAACGGUGUAACUGGAGUGCAGGUGAGGCAGGCGGAAUUCCUAGUGUAGCGGUGAAAUGCGUAGAGAUUAGGAGGAACACCAGUGGCGAAGGCGGCCUGCUGGACUGUAACUGACGUUGAGGCUCGAAAGCGUGGGGAGCAAACAGGAUUAGAUACCCUUGUAGUC
This 443-nucleotide ribosomal RNA is filed under the name uncultured bacterium. RNAcentral describes it as "partial 16S ribosomal RNA". It matches the Rfam family "Bacterial small subunit ribosomal RNA", at positions 338 to 795 of the family's 1533-position model. The record is from RNAcentral.